GUCCACGGCCAUACCACCCUGAAUGCUCCCGAUUUCAUCUGAUCUCAGAAGCUAAGCACGAUUGGGCCUGGUUAGUACUUGGAUGGGAGGAAUUUAUCUAAGGAAGAAAAAUAGAAACCUCUACAAUGGAUA
This 132-nucleotide ribosomal RNA is filed under the name Octodon degus (degu). Lineage: Eukaryota; Metazoa; Chordata; Mammalia; Rodentia; Octodontidae. The record is from RNAcentral.